AUAUGUGGGAAAAAAA
This 16-nucleotide small RNA is filed under the name Arabidopsis thaliana (thale cress). Its description in RNAcentral is "ATSL074650". Lineage: Eukaryota; Viridiplantae; Streptophyta; Magnoliopsida; Brassicales; Brassicaceae. The record is from RNAcentral.